Homo sapiens (human) is the source of this 869-nucleotide long non-coding RNA. Lineage: Eukaryota; Metazoa; Chordata; Mammalia; Primates; Hominidae. The record is from Ensembl.
CUCUCUGCAGACCACCGGCUAGAGCAGGAGCACGAGCUCUUCCGCUGUUUCCAGGAUCCCUGCCGGCUGGGCACGCGCCAAAAGCAGCCCUGGGCCCUGGGGACCGCGCUGAGCACCUCCGUGCUCCACCAGUCCAUGGCCUCCUCCCCCAAGAUGCCGAGGCGGGCCCUGGAGCAGGAGAAAGGGCGCCACCUCUACCUGGCCGGCCUUCCCGGCAGAAGCCGCCGAGCUAAGCCCUGGAGAGGUCGGCGCCUGGACUACAUCACGUACCGCGGAGUUCCCGGGUGGCUGGGCCUGCGGCACUGGGACGACCCUCAACCUGACUCCCGCCCCCAGGAGGUGGAGCAGGUGACGUUCAGUACCGCCCUGGAGGGGCUCACGGACCACCGGGCAGUGCGCCUGCAGCUCCGAGUCUCAGUGUCCUCCUAAGGCAAGCACAGAUGAGGGGCGCGCGGCUGGCGCGCACAGACACGACUCGGAGCACGAACUAGGCGCCGUAGCUGCGUCCCCAGAACCGGGAGACUUAAGGCAUCUUUAUUGCGGGAUCCUCACACGGCCUCCUGGGCCCGGCGAUACUCAUAGACGCUGCCGUGCUCGGGAAAGGCCAGUGCUUGCGGGGGCGACCCCGGCGGUGGGGCGGGGUCCUCCGGGUCCCCAUAGCCACCGCCGCCGGGCGUGUGGAGACAGAACACAUCCUGUUGGCGCGGGGGGGGGCGGGGAGGCGGGCUCAGUGCAGGCGUGGCCCCUCCCUGUCACCUGCGCAGUCCCCUCCCCACCGGGCAGCGUCCAUCACCCGCCCCCAUGGACCACGGAGGCCCGGUACGCGCCCCCUUUCCUUCCGGGGCCAAAUUAAACUCGGCCUCUGGUCA